Molecule: ribosomal RNA, 783 nt
Filed under: Neocucurbitaria sp.
Lineage: Eukaryota; Fungi; Ascomycota; Dothideomycetes; Pleosporales; Cucurbitariaceae
Description: partial large subunit ribosomal RNA
Rfam family: Eukaryotic large subunit ribosomal RNA
Source: RNAcentral
GGCGCUUUGGCGUUGGCAGCGGUCCAAGUUCCUUGGAACAGGACGUCACAGAGGGUGAGAAUCCCGUACGUGGUCGCUGGCCUUCGCCGUGUAAAGCCCCUUCGACGAGUCGAGUUGUUUGGGAAUGCAGCUCUAAAUGGGAGGUAAAUUUCUUCUAAAGCUAAAUACUGGCCAGAGACCGAUAGCGCACAAGUAGAGUGAUCGAAAGAUGAAAAGCACUUUGGAAAGAGAGUCAAAUAGCACGUGAAAUUGUUGAAAGGGAAGCGCUUGCAGCCAGACUUGCCUGUAGUUGCUCAUCCAGGCUCUUUGCCUGGUGUACUCUUCUGCGGGCAGGCCAGCAUCAGUCUGGGCGGUUGGAUAAUGGCCUCUGUCAUGUACCUCCUCUCGGGGAGGCCUUAUAGGGGAGGCGUAGUGCGACCAGCCUGGACUGAGGUCCGCGCAUCUGCUAGGAUGCUGGCGUAAUGGCUGUAAGCGGCCCGUCUUGAAACACGGACCAAGGAGUCUAACAUCUAUGCGAGUGUUUGGGUGUCAAGCCCGAGCGCGUAAUGAAAGUGAACGGAGGUGGGAUCCCUUUAGGGUGCACCAUCGACCGAUCCUGAUGUCUUCGGAUGGAUUUGAGUAAGAGCAUGGCUGUUGGGACCCGAAAGAUGGUGAACUAUGCUUGAAUAGGGUGAAGCCAGAGGAAACUCUGGUGGAGGCUCGCAGCGGUUCUGACGUGCAAAUCGAUCGUCAAAUUUGGGCAUAGGGGCGAAAGACUAAUCGAACUAUCUAGUAGCUGGUUCU